RNAcentral lists this ribosomal RNA (465 nucleotides) under uncultured bacterium. RNAcentral describes it as "partial 16S ribosomal RNA". It matches the Rfam family "Bacterial small subunit ribosomal RNA", at positions 339 to 795 of the family's 1533-position model. The record is from RNAcentral.
CUACGGGAGGCAGCAGUGGGGAAUAUUGCGCAAUGGGGGAAACCCUGACGCAGUGACGCCGUGUGAGUGAUGAAGGUUUUCGGAUCGUAAAGCUCUGUCAGAUGGGAAGAAUAAAGACAGAAAAAAUAUUUCUGCCUGAUGACGGUACCAUCAGAGGAAGCACCGGCUAACUCCGUGCCAGCAGCCGCGGUAAUACGGAGGGUGCAAACGUUGUUCGGAAUUACUGGGCGUAAAGCGCAUGUAGGCGGAUAUGUAGGUCAGAUGUGAAAGCCCUUGGCUCAACCAAGGAAGUGCAUCUGAAACCACAUAUCUUGAGUAUGACAGAGGGAAGUGGAAUUCCAAGUGUAGAGGUGAGAUUCAUAGAUAUUUGGAAGAACACCGGUGGCGAAGGCGGCUUUCUGGGUCAUAACUGACGCUGAGAUGCGAAAGCGUGGGUAGCAAACAGGAUUAGAUACCCCUGUAGUC